GACGAACGCUGGCGGCGUGCCUAUUACAUGCAAGUAGAACGCUGAAGGAGGAGCUUGCUUCUCUGGAUGAGUUGCGAACGGGUGAGUAACGCGUAGGUAACCUGCCUGGUAGCGGGGGAUAACUAUUGGAAACGAUAGCUAAUACCGCAUAAUAGUAGAUGUUGCAUGACAUUUGCUUAAAAGGUGCAAUUGCAUCACUACCAGAUGGACCUGCGUUGUAUUAGCUAGUUGGUGAGGUAACGGCUCACCAAGGCAACGAUACAUAGCCGACCUGAGAGGGUGAUCGGCCACACUGGGACUGAGACACGGCCCAGACUCCUACGGGAGGCAGCAGUAGGGAAUCUUCGGCAAUGGACGGAAGUCUGACCGAGCAACGCCGCAUGAGUGAAGAAGGUUUUCGGAUCGUAAAGCUCUGUUGUAAGAGAAGAACGAGUGUGAGAGUGGAAAGUUCACACUGUGACGGUAUCUUACCAGAAAGGGACGGCUAACUACGUG
This 495-nucleotide ribosomal RNA is filed under the name uncultured bacterium. RNAcentral's name for it is "partial 16S ribosomal RNA". It matches the Rfam family "Bacterial small subunit ribosomal RNA", at positions 28 to 507 of the family's 1533-position model. The record is from RNAcentral.